Molecule: ribosomal RNA, 484 nt
Filed under: uncultured bacterium
Lineage: Bacteria
Description: partial 16S ribosomal RNA
Rfam family: Bacterial small subunit ribosomal RNA
Source: RNAcentral
AUUGAACGCUGGCGGCAGGCCUAACACAUGCAAGUCGAGCGGAUGAAGGGAGCUUGCUCCUGGAUUCAGCGGCGGACGGGUGUGUAAUGCCUAGGAAUCUGCCUGGGAGUGGGGGAUAACGUCCGGAAACGGGCGCUAAUACCGCAUACGCCCUGAGGGAGAACGUGGGGGAUCUUCGGACCUCAUGCCAUCAGGUGAGCCUAGGUCGGAUUAGCUAGUUGGUGGGGUAAAGGCCUACCAAGGCGACGAUCCGUAACUGGUCUGAGAGGAUGAUCAGUCACACUGGAACUGAGACACGGUCCAGACUCCUACGGGAGGCAGCAGUGGGGAAUAUUGGACAAUGGGCGAAAGCCUGAUCCAGCCAUGCCGCGUGUGUGAAGAAGGUCUUCGGAUUGUAAAGCACUUUAAGUUGGGAGGAAGGGCAGUAAGUUAAUACCGUGCUGUUUUGACGUUACCAACAGAAUAAGCACCGGCUAACUUCGUG